AGAGUUUGAUCCUGGCUCAGAAUCAACGCUGGCGGCGUGCCUCAGACAUGCAAGUCGAACGCGAAAGUUCCCUUCGGGGAGCAAGUAGAGUGGCGCACGGGUGAGUAACACGUAGGUAAUCUACCUUUGGAUGGGGAAUAACAACCGGAAACGGUUGCUAAUACCGCAUAAUGCAGCGGCACCUAAUGGUGACAGUUGUUAAAGCGGGGGAUCGAAAGACCUCGCGUCUGAAGAGGAGCCUGCGGCGGAUUAGCUAGUUGGUAAGGUAACGGCUUACCAAGGCAGUGAUCCGUAGCCGGCCUGAGAGGGCGGUCGGCCACACUGACACUGACAUACGGGUCAGACUCCUACGGGAGGCAGCAGUCGGGAAUUUUGGGCAAUGGGCGAAAGCCUGACCCAGCAACGCCGCGUGAAGGAUGAAAUCCCUCGGGAUGUAAACUUCGCAAGAACGGGAAGAAUAGGUCUGUGCUAACACCACUGGCGAUGACGGUACCGUUUGUAAGCUCCGGCUAACUCCGUGCCAGCCGCCGCGGUAAUAC
RNAcentral lists this ribosomal RNA (539 nucleotides) under uncultured bacterium. Its description in RNAcentral is "bacterial SSU rRNA". It matches the Rfam family "Bacterial small subunit ribosomal RNA", at positions 8 to 526 of the family's 1533-position model. The record is from RNAcentral.